Molecule: ribosomal RNA, 792 nt
Filed under: uncultured bacterium
Lineage: Bacteria
Description: bacterial SSU rRNA
Rfam family: Bacterial small subunit ribosomal RNA
Source: RNAcentral
AGAGUUUGAUCAUGGCUCAGAUUGAACGCUGGCGGAAUGCUUUACACAUGCAAGUCGAGCGGCAGCGCGGGGCAACCUGGCGGCGAGCGGCGAACGGGUGAGUAAUGCAUCGGAACAUGUCCAUGUCGUGGGGGAUAGCCCGGCGAAAGCCGGAUUAAUACCGCAUACGCCCGAGAGGGGAAAGUGGGGGACCGCAAGGCCUCACGCGAUUGGGUUGGCCGAUGUCCGAUUAGCUAGUUGGCGGGGUAAGAGCCCACCAAGGCGAUGAUCGGUAGCUGGUCUGAGAGGAUGAUCAGCCACACUGGGACUGAGACACGGCCCAGACUCCUACGGGAGGCAGCAGUGGGGAAUUUUGGACAAUGGGGGCAACCCUGAUCCAGCCAUUCCGCGUGAGUGAAGAAGGCCUUCGGGUUGUAAAGCUCUUUUGUCCGGAACGAAACGGUUAGUUCUAAUACGACUGACUACUGACGGUACCGGAAGAAUAAGCACCGGCUAACUACGUGCCAGCAGCCGCGGUAAUACGUAGGGUGCGAGCGUUAAUCGGAAUUACUGGGCGUAAAGCGUGCGCAGGCGGUUUUGUAAGCCAGAUGUGAAAUCCCCGGGCUUAACCUGGGAAUGGCAUUUGGGACUGCAAGGCUGGAGUUUGGCAGAGGAGACUGGAAUUCCUGGUGUAGCAGUGAAAUGCGUAGAUAUCAGGAGGAAUACCGAUGGCGAAGGCAGGUCUCUGGGCUAUAACUGACGCUCAUGCACGAAAGCGUGGGGAGCAAACAGGAUUAGAUACCCUAGUAGUCC